Molecule: ribosomal RNA, 434 nt
Filed under: Bacillus sp. MAL 24
Lineage: Bacteria; Bacillati; Bacillota; Bacilli; Caryophanales; Bacillaceae
Description: bacterial SSU rRNA
Rfam family: Bacterial small subunit ribosomal RNA
Source: RNAcentral
CAAUCCUAGAGAUAGGACGUCCCCUUCGGGGGCAGAGUGACAGGUGGUGCAUGGUUGUCGUCAGCUCGUGUCGUGAGAUGUUGGGUUAAGUCCCGCAACGAGCGCAACCCUUGAUCUUAGUUGCCAGCAUUCAGUUGGGCACUUUAAGGUGACUGCCGGUGACAAACCGGAGGAAGGGGGGGAGGACGUCAAAUCAUCAUGCCCCUUAUGACCUGGGCUACACACGUGCUACAAUGGACAGAACAAAGGGCAGGGAAACCGCGAGGUUAAGCCAAUCCCACAAAUCUGUUCUCAGUUCGGAUCGCAGUCUGCAACUCGACUGCGUGAAGCUGGAAUCGCUAGUAAUCGCGGAUCAGCAUGCCGCGGUGAAUACGUUCCCGGGCCUUGUACACACCGCCCGUCACCCCACGAGAGUUUGUAACACCCGAAGUCGG